Molecule: ribosomal RNA, 253 nt
Filed under: uncultured bacterium
Lineage: Bacteria
Description: partial 16S ribosomal RNA
Rfam family: Bacterial small subunit ribosomal RNA
Source: RNAcentral
UACAGAGGUCUCAAGCGUUGUUCGGAUUCAUUGGGCGUAAAGGGUGCGUAGGUGGCGUCGUAAGUCGGGUGUGAAAUUUCGGAGCUUAACUCCGAAACUGCAUUCGAUACUGCGGUGCUUGAGGACUGGAGAGGAGACUGGAAUUUACGGUGUAGCAGUGAAAUGCGUAGAGAUCGUAAGGAAGACCAGUGGCGAGGGCGGGUCUCUGGACAGUUCCUGACACUGAGGCACGAAGGCCAGGGGAGCAAACGGG